UUGGCCGUCUAUUCUCCGACAACAAGAAACAAAGCAUUCACUCUCAACUCUGUUAUUGUUUUUAUUGGGACCUCGGUCAUCUGUGUGCCAUUUUCACAACCCUACUCUCUCCCUCUUUUCACUACUGGUGUUUCCUUGUCAGAGUUUGGGGAAGAGCAGAAUCUAUGGCUGGGUUGAUUGAUAUUCUUAUUUUUGUAGUUUGUGCUUUUACAUAAUUACAUGGAAAGAACUGACCAUUCCUGACCUGAAGUUGUCCAUGAUGACCGAGUCAUUACGGGAACUCGAGGAUAAGAUCCGCAAGCUUCAAGAAGAAUCGGCUAAGGACAAGAGGAGGACCUGAUUGGUGGAUGUGUCUUCCGGUUUGGCGGUGUGUCUUUAACUUUUUCUGGUUUCAAUUUUGUGGAUGAUUGGUGUAGCAGAAACCAGCUAGGAAUGUAUUAGAUGUAUUUUUCUGUAUUUGUUUUAGUUUUUUGUUUUCCUGUCAACUUCUCUUGUGUAAUCGGUACUCAUGUUGUUGGACUUUGUACUAAUCUGAUUGCUUCCUCGACUCCCUGAAUGGUUACUUUUCUUCUUUUGACUUCCUAGGAUCUUUGUUCAGUUGGUGCAUAUAGAUAUAUGUAUGCGAGUCUCGUCCUUUGCAUCUGCUUUUGUUUCAUAUUUUCGACCUGUCAUCAUCAUCAUCAUCAUUUCUUUGAGUUUCUGUGUCUCAACAAGAGGAAGUUUCACAUUUGUAGCUAAUGUUCAUUUCCACCUUAUAAGCCUGUUCCUAUAGAAUUUAUGUACAAAAGCUACAAGGGUAUGAAACGGGGAGAGGGAAGAGACUAAAAAAAUGCUUCAACCGGACUAUCUUCAGUUUAUUCUGCUUGCAGUGAUGCUACUGGAAUUGCAGUAAUUUACCAUAGGUGGCAGGGGCGACGAUCAAAUCCAGAACAUCUUGAACCCAUUCAUUGACUCUCUUCAAGCAUUCUCCUGUCUUUGAUUUCACCCUCUGAGAAGGUAUGCAGCCUAGCGGACCCAGCCCGUGGAACACCAUCUUUCGCGCACCAAGUUGGUAAAGCCU
Tripterygium wilfordii is the source of this 1060-nucleotide long non-coding RNA. RefSeq lists it as uncharacterized. The transcript is spliced from 6 exons. The record is from RefSeq and is a predicted model, not a curated record. NCBI's taxonomy places the organism in Eukaryota, Viridiplantae, Streptophyta, Magnoliopsida, Celastrales, Celastraceae.